Molecule: ribosomal RNA, 254 nt
Filed under: uncultured bacterium
Lineage: Bacteria
Description: partial 16S ribosomal RNA
Rfam family: Bacterial small subunit ribosomal RNA
Source: RNAcentral
UACAGAGGCCCCAAGCAUUAUCCGGAAUCACUGGGCGUAAAGGAUGCGUAGGUGGCGUUGUUAGUCCUUCGUUAAAUACUCUGUGCUUAACAUAGAGAUCGCGAAGGAAACGGCAAUGCUAGAGGAUGUACGAGGCGUGCGGAACUCACGGUGUAGGGAUUAAAUCCGUUGAUAUCGUGGGGAACACCAAAAGCGAAGGCAGCACGCUGGGACACUCCUGACACUGAGGCAUGAAAGCGUAGGUAGCGAACGGG